UUACCGAGUUUACAACUCCCAAACCCCUGUGAACAUACCUAUACGUUGCCUCGGCGGAUCAGCCCGCGCCCCGUAAAACGGGACGGCCCGCCCGAGGACCCUAAACUCUGUUUUUAGUGGAACUUCUGAGUAAAACAAACAAAUAAAUCAAAACUUUCAACAACGGAUCUCUUGGUUCUGGCAUCGAUGAAGAACGCAGCAAAAUGCGAUAAGUAAUGUGAAUUGCAGAAUUCAGUGAAUCAUCGAAUCUUUGAACGCACAUUGCGCCCGCCAGUAUUCUGGCGGGCAUGCCUGUUCGAGCGUCAUUUCAACCCUCAAGCUCAGCUUGGUGUUGGGACUCGCGGUAACCCGCGUUCCCCAAAUCGAUUGGCGGUCACGUCGAGCUUCCAUAGCGUAGUAAUAAUACACCUCGUUACUGGUAAUCGUCGCGGCCACGCCGUAAAACCCCAACUUCUGAAUGUUGACCUCGGAUCAGGUAGGAAUACCCGCUGAACUUAAGCAUA
This 503-nucleotide ribosomal RNA is filed under the name Fusarium equiseti. RNAcentral describes it as "eukaryotic LSU rRNA". The stretch from base 152 to 305 matches the Rfam family "5.8S ribosomal RNA". Lineage: Eukaryota; Fungi; Ascomycota; Sordariomycetes; Hypocreales; Nectriaceae. The record is from RNAcentral.